Nemania sp. FL0916 is the source of this 97-nucleotide non-coding RNA. The record is from the annotation of a GenBank genome assembly. NCBI's taxonomy places the organism in Eukaryota, Fungi, Ascomycota, Sordariomycetes, Xylariales, Xylariaceae.
GCUGAGGUAGUGUAGUGGUAAGCACGUGGGAUUUUGACGAACCGUUGUUCAAACAUCAAAAUUUCCCGAGUCCCCGGUUCGAACCCGGGCCACAGCU